This is a long non-coding RNA of Astatotilapia calliptera (eastern happy), 2092 nucleotides long. Lineage: Eukaryota; Metazoa; Chordata; Actinopteri; Cichliformes; Cichlidae. The record is from Ensembl.
AGACGGGAAACGGCAUCAUCAUUGAUGAUGGUGUGGGAGAGCAACGCGUGUGGUGGCUAAAUAAUAAAUGUGGCAUAUUGGGUUUUGUGUGAAGCCAGGACUGAAGCCUGUUCCUGUGGUGCUGCCGAGGAUAAAGAUGUGAAGAUUUCAGACCUAGUCAUCCAGGGGUGGGGGAUGGAAGUGGUGGACGACUGAUUAGCUGCUAAACUUAAUUUACAUUAAUCAUUCCAGUCGAUUGUCAAUUGGAAAUACUUCACCUUCAUCUCAAGUUUUUUGUUUUUUGUCCUCGUCUUUUGUAUGACUGGUGUGAGAUUGCUAAUUGAAUCUCAACAAGUUGUCACACUAUGGCCUCUGGUGAUGCUUCCUACAGGAGCGGCGUUCCGGUGGUUCCAGUAGGACUCCUCCUCCUCCUCCGCUCCCUACCCAAAGCUCUGCCAUGAAGUGCAAUGCCAACUCCUGGAUUGUCUCCGGAACAGACACUGGCUAAUAAACAAGCUAGCAACAAAUAAAAUUAUAGAAAAAACCCCAACAAAAAACAAAAAAACUAAACUAAUAAAAGCAGAAAAAAAGAGGAAAAAAAUCAGCCGGAUAAUGGAUGCACCUACUUAUUCCUUGAACCAAAAAUGAAAACGUAAAGAAAAGCAUCUAUGGCAACUUUCAUUCCCUUUUCUAUGUUUCCAUUUUGGUACCUUUUGUCCUUAUCCCAGCAGGUUUUUUCUGUCGCUUAAACAUGGAACUGCUCAUUGCCAGAAACAGAAAUGACGGACUGAGUGUGGACAAUCAACUAAUUUCUGUGUUUGGUGUUAAUGUUGUUCAUGUGUGGAAAGAUAAAGUACUUGUGUAGAGAAUGUAAAUUUACAGCUAUAUUUUAAAAACUAGUGGCUAAUGGUAAACAUUAUUGUAAUUCUUCACCAUUAUGUUACUCAAAGCCCUCGUCUUCUUUAUGAUUUCAUUUUACUUUCCAGAAAGAUUUAAGUGGUUGUCCUUUGACAGUCAAGAAAAUGUUUCAAAUUGUGGUGCUGUCCAUUUUGGAUUGUAAUGAAACUUUUAAAAAAAAAGAAAGAAAAAAAAGUCAUGUUAAUGGGCAGAUCACCUGAGAUUCUUCGCUGGCUUGAAGAUGUUGUUCGCCAGAGCCGUCACUACUGUAAUCUCCUCAAUCAGCCCUCCUCUGCAUUUCCAAACUGUUCCUUUAGUGAAACUGGCAGCCUUGUUACUGUGGCCCUACUGAGCAUGUGCCAAUACUGCUCAGGGCAAAAGCACUAAGAGACAGCACUUGCUCUGAGUCUACCCUACUGAAAGCACUGGGACAAGCAUUUUUUUUUAAAUUUAUUUGUUUAUUUGUCAUAUUUUUAUGAUUUAGUUAUGUUGCUGGGUAGCUACAGCUUUUAAAAAUAACCAAUCUUUGUAUUUGUUUAGAAAAUUGGACUGGUUUUGUGAAUAAAAAGGAAUGCAUGUAUUCGUGUCAAAAUUUACAAAUCUGAUGUUUGUCUACUUGUCUAUUUGCAUGUUUUUUUUAACAGCUGAUUUUAAAAAAAUGGUUGGACUGACAAAAUAAAUAUUAAGGAUACAUUUUCCACAAAUUAGAAGGAAAAAAAAGUUUCCUUUUCUUUUACAAUUGGACGCUGCAGCAUAAUUUUGACUCAAACACAGCUCAUUAAAGUAAAUCAGGUGGUGGUAUGAAUCGCUAAGAUGUUCUUGGGUUGACUGAGAUCUCUUUUUUACUGCCUAUGUAAUACACUAUAUGGACAAAAGUACUGGGAAAUCUACACAUGAACCCUACAGGAGCAGCUAGGCCAUAAAGGCGCGUGUCAUGAAGCUCCCGGCACACAGUGUUUGUGCUGAUGUUAAACCCAGAAGAGAUUUGGAGCUCUGAAGUUAUUGAACCAGCAGAUCAUUGGUGACUUUUACCCACUUUACUUCUUACACUUUAUACUUUUAUAUCAAUAUUUUUGCCCAUAUAGUGUAUCUGCCUACAGUGGAACAAUGGACCCUUGCUAUGCUAAAAUGUAACCAAAAUGAUUUAAAUAAUGUUUGAAUAAGAUCUUUUUGUUUGCAGUUUUUCUUCAAAUUGCAUGAAACCUCUUGAAGCUCC